Molecule: long non-coding RNA, 277 nt
Filed under: Daucus carota (carrot)
Lineage: Eukaryota; Viridiplantae; Streptophyta; Magnoliopsida; Apiales; Apiaceae
Description: long non-coding RNA (DCAR_LNC002311)
Source: RNAcentral
UGUAAAUAAGCAUCUCAAAACAGACAUCACCCGGUUCUGAUCAUAUAAUUUCAUAAAAUUGUUGUAAAGUCAAAUUUCUUUUCCAUCAACCCGUGAUGGACUCUACAGUAAGUUGCCACCAAAAUGGGAAAAAGUUCAUCAAGUUCUAACAAACUAAUAACACAUAACUAUUGAAAGAACGUAUAGACUGGAAAAAGAUUAACCUAAGAAAUACAAUGAAAGAUUUCUAUUCCCAAAUCAAGUAGCUAGUCCUUCAAGUGUUGCUGUAUGAUGUUGC